Molecule: long non-coding RNA, 389 nt
Organism: Astatotilapia calliptera (eastern happy)
Lineage: Eukaryota; Metazoa; Chordata; Actinopteri; Cichliformes; Cichlidae
Source: Ensembl
CAUGAAAGCAUCUCUGAUACGCUGUAUCUUGGUCAUCUGUCUGGCAGUCCAGCAUUGCCAGAGGAUCUUUUGGAUCCAGUUUGUCUCAUGGUCCAUGGAUUGGGGUUUUCCCAGGAGAUUCACUCCACAGAUUCCAGUCAAGUCUAGAAGCUUGACUGGGCUGGAAUCUGUGCAGUUUGGAAAGGCAGCUGUCUUCAGGGAGUGCCGUUGCCAUGGUGGAUGUGUGCUUGGCUUGUAACUACAUUUAGAGAAAGAAAAGCGUUGCAUACCUGUCCUUGAGAGAUUCAGCAGCAGCAGGCAGAAAACAACAAGCACGACUUUCAGACUGUCUGCAGUGGAUGACCUUGAUUUCAGACGUGUGGAAACGGCUCAUUCGGACACUGUGAAGC